AUUGCCUCUCAGCCUUUUGGCUGAGAUCAAGUGUGGUAUGUGUUCUUAACAGUUUUAUAUCUGAUAUCCGAUAUUCGAGUAUAUUAAAUGGAAUUUUGGAGCAGGGAGAUGGAUGGAAUAGGGCCUUGCUUCAUCCACUCCAUGCAUCCACCUGCAGUACCUCCAGAAAUGGUACACCCCCU
Small nuclear RNA from Aotus nancymaae (Ma's night monkey), 182 nucleotides. Its record names the gene U2. It matches the Rfam family "U2 spliceosomal RNA". Rfam says of the family: U2 is a small nuclear RNA (snRNA) component of the spliceosome (involved in pre-mRNA splicing). Lineage: Eukaryota; Metazoa; Chordata; Mammalia; Primates; Aotidae. The record is from Ensembl.